GGUUUCGUACUUUAUAUAUAGAAGAUUUGGUUUGCAACUAAAAAGAAGACUAUUAAGUCUCUAAACCA
RNAcentral lists this transfer RNA (68 nucleotides) under Hypselodoris bullockii. RNAcentral describes it as "tRNA-Ala". Lineage: Eukaryota; Metazoa; Mollusca; Gastropoda; Nudibranchia; Chromodorididae. The record is from RNAcentral.